GAGUUUGAUCCUGGCUCAGAUGAACGCUGGCGGGUUAAUACAUGCAAGUCGAGCGAACGGAUAAGGAGCUUGCUCCUUUGAAGUUAGCGGGGACGGGUGAGUAACAGUGGGUAACCUACCUAUAAGACUGGAAUAACUUCGGGAAACCGGAGCUAAUGCCGGAUAACAUAUAGAACCGCAUGGUCUAUAGUGAAAGAUGGUUUUGCUAUCACUUAUAGAUGGACCCGCGCCGUAUUAGCUAGUUGGUAAGGUAAUGGCUUACCAAGGCGACGAUACGUAGCCGACCUGAGAGGGUGAUCGGCCACACUGGAACUGAGACACGGUCCAGACUCCUACGGGAGGCAGCAGUAGGGAAUCUUCCGCAAUGGGCGAAAGCCUGACGGAGCAACGCCGCGUGAGUGAUGAAGGUUUUCGGAUCGUAAAACUCUGUUAUUAGGGAAGAACAAAUGCGUAAGUAACUGUGCGCAUCUUGACGGUACCUAAUCAGAAAGCCGCGGCUAACUACGUGCCAGCAGCCCGCGGUAAUACGUAGGUGGCAAGCCGUUAUCCGGAAUUAUUGGGCCGUAAAGCGCGCGUAGGCGGUUUCUUAAGUCUGAUGUGAAAGCCCACGGCUCAACCCGUGGAGGGUCAUUGGAAACUGGGAAACUUGAGUGCAGAAGAAGGAAAGUGGAAUUUCCAUGUGUAGCGGUGAAAUGCCC
Molecule: ribosomal RNA, 698 nt
Filed under: uncultured Staphylococcus sp.
Lineage: Bacteria; Bacillati; Bacillota; Bacilli; Caryophanales; Staphylococcaceae
Description: bacterial SSU rRNA
Rfam family: Bacterial small subunit ribosomal RNA
Source: RNAcentral